RNAcentral lists this long non-coding RNA (5642 nucleotides) under Daucus carota (carrot). RNAcentral describes it as "long non-coding RNA (DCAR_LNC003289)". The record is from RNAcentral. Lineage: Eukaryota; Viridiplantae; Streptophyta; Magnoliopsida; Apiales; Apiaceae.
GCCUCUUGGCGAUAAGGUCGGAGAUAGGCCGAAGGCCCAUCUUGGAGAAUCCUACUCCUGUUAGAAUUAGUCUUGAGUAUGACUACCUCAGACUCCUAAUCCAAAUAGAUCACGGAUUCAACGAUAUCUCCACUACGAGAGAUAGCAUCUACCACGACUCUUAUGGAGAAGUUAUCUGGGGGAGCCAUGACUAACCCCUCGAGGUGCAGGGACACGUCCUCACCUCUCGGUGAGGUCUUCAUCUUCAAACAAGGUAGACAAGGAGCCAAAUUACACGAUCGUCUCAAUCCCCCGAUGAGGGCUAACUCACCAGAAUACAGGAUCCAGACAUAUGAUCGGCCUUCGUGUUACCCCGGAGGGCCUUCAAGAGCCAUGAUCACCUCAAGCCCCCACACGAGGGUUAACUCGGCAGAUAGCAGGAUUGAGGAUUGUAGAUCAUGCCCGGAUGAGCCCGGGAACUAUCAGAUGAGCCUGAUAACUACCAAAUGAGCUUGGUAACUAGUCUUCAUAUCCCUCGGAAGGGUCGUCACGGAGACUCACUCAUCCUCUUUCUUUCAUCAUGUAUUUCAUAACUAUGCCUCUUCUGAGUCAAAGGACGCGCCCUGAUAGGGAGGACGUGUCCUUCCCAAUUCCCGUCUUCAUCCCUGUUUACUGGACAAGAGACCGCACCUCCCGGGCCAUGUCUGGGGAGGGCGCGUCCUUCCCUUAUCUUGUCUUCAAUCCUCCUUACUGGACAAGAGACCGCACCUCCCGGGCCAUGUCUGGGGAGGGCGCGUCCUCCCCUCCACAUGAUAUACAAAAACGGCUACAACACCUCGGAAGAGUCGUCGUAUCCCCCGGAGGGGUCGUCAUAUCCCCCCCGGAGGGGUAGGUCUUCCUAUCCCCGGAGGGACGGUCUUCGUCUCCCUCGGAAGGGUUGUCUCAGCGAAUGUACACUCUCCCAUAAGAAGAGCCUUCUUACAACACAUCAGACAGGUCCUUCUUUAACAUGAGGUCGCGCCCCCGGGGAGGCGAGGACACCCCGUUAAAGGCACGCCCUUGGUCUUCAUCUCAUUGUCAACUUCUUACAAGGGACGCGCCCCUCGGUCACCUCCGAAGAGGGCGUGCCCUCCUCCACAUAUUACAGGACGUGGGUGGACGGAGGUCGGUCGCGUCUCUCCAUCAACACUCUCAAGUAAGGCGUCCCUCCUUGUGACUCGGAGGACGCGUCCUUUUCAAGCAACACCAAGGGUCGGUCGCAUCCUCCCUUUAUAAGCAGGAGGACGCCUCCUCUUCACGCAACACCAAGGGUCGAUCGCAUCCUCCCCUUAUAAGCAGGAGGACGCGUCCUCUUCAUGGGACACGUGUGACCUGGAGGACACAUCCCUCCUUCCGACGCGGAGGACGCGUCCUCUUCAUUAAGAUACGCAACAUCGGCGGAUCAGUCGCGUCACGGAGGGCUGCGCCCUUCCGUUCAGACUAGUCUCUUCAAGGGUCGGUCGCGUCCUCACUUUAUAAGCAGGAGGACGCGUCCUUCCUUUAUAUAGGACUCUUAGCCCAAUUCAUGUCUUACUUAGUUAAACUAAGUACAUACUUGGCCCAACAAGGACCUAGCCAAAUUUGGCUAUAACAAGUACUCCCCAAAUUUUCUUGAUAUUGGAGAUAUCAGGGAAAUUUUUACUCCAUACCACACAUCCUCUUCCGAGAGCGCGUCCGCGCAUAGAGGCGUGACGUAAGCCACUUCUAUUCCUCGACAUUCCAAGAUGCAGGCUGUGCACAAGCCUUGCAUGUAUAUAAUGUCGGUGUCUUUGAUCAUUUAGCAAAGUUGCUAAGCAUGAGGCUGUCGCGUCUUCUUGAUGUGUUCAUAAAUAAUAAGCAAUCUUUAUGUAGACAAAAGAAAACAGGGGGCGCGGCCUAUCUGUCGUUGACAGUGGCGCAGCUUCGCUUAUUCCUUCCAAAGGACACAUUCAACCAUAACAUUCGCGCCAAUGAACUUCAACAAAAGAAGGGCGCGCCCUCGCUGUGCGAAGGUUUUGGGGUUUUUUUUUUUUUAGCCUUAGUGUGUCCAUGGUACCUGGGAAUAGUAAAUAUAAGGCGCGACUUACAGAGUGGCGCUGCCUUGUUAUAACAUGACCCCUUUUAAUUCUUUUUGUUAAAGAAUUGCCUAAGCAGAGGGCGCGGCUGAUGGCGCUGCCUUGCAAUAUUUCUUUUCUUUCAAGGACUGUAUAAGCAGAGGGCGCAGCCUUACUUGUAAUGUGGGCUCUUUUGAUCUUUUCCAAGGAUUAAGUAGAGGGCGCGGCCUUUGGCGCAGCUUUACUUUUUCACGCGUGAAUCACUUGCUUAAGAAAAUCAAGAGGACCACUCCCCAGUCCAUACAUCUUCCCAUAUGGGGCAUCACGAAUCUUAUCGUGGUUUACAUAACUCCGGUGCAUCGCACAGGUCCCAGAGCUCAUAGCUCAAUGGGGAAUGAAUAGUAUAAAAUGUUAUCCAGAGCAUAUCAUGGAUAUGUAAGAUCCAGAGCGUAUCAUGGAUGCGCAAGUAUAAUGUCCAGAGCGUAUCAUGGAUGCGCAAAUAUAGUAUCCGGAGCGUAUCAUGGAUAUGUAAAUAAUCAUAGCAUCCAGAGUAGAUCGUGGAUGACAUCCAGAGCGUAUCAUGGAUGGUUAAAAUUCAUAGUACCCAGAGCUGGUCAUGGAUAAUUUGGUAACCUUUGAAAGGCCUUAAGUGUACCUUGAUCAAAGACCUUGCAGGUAUCAUGCUACGUUCCUGUAGAACGGAGGGCGCGCCCUCAUCAAGAUGGACAGCUCCUUUAGCAUGUUGGACUUGACCUGCACUUUAUCAUGUAUACGACUUAAUACUGAUGGUCAGUGUUACCUCACGACGCGCCCUGUUAGGGGAAGACGCGUCCUCCCAAAUUAUCAACCCUGGAAACAUGACCUUGGAACUCGGGGUGCGUCCAACUAGGAGGAGGCGCGUCUUUGAAGCAUCUCCCUUCUCAACAUUAUUAUCCUGGGGGCGCGCCCUCAUGUGCUUCCUCAAGUGAUGAGUACUUCCGAGAGGACGCGCCCUAGGGAGGGACGUGACCUCUUCAAGACUAGUGAGCUCCUUCCUGAGUAUGUUUGUCUUCACAAAGUAUCAUAUGAAGCAAUUAAUGCAUCAGACAUACCAGAGGGCGCGCCCUGUCAGAGGGAGGCGCGCAAUUCGUUCUCUGAUAGAAUACUGGUUGGAUAUGGCGUACCCCUUUAGGAGGGCGCGCCUUGUUGGAGGAAAGUGCGACUACUCCUCACGGCGAAGAGGUGUAUUCCUCAUAAAGGUAACACCAUAUUACCUGUGAAUUUACACAUGUAGUAGUCUUAGGGAACCAAAUACUGGGGGAGUUUAGUAUUUACCUGAGGGCGCGCCCGGUCAGGGGAAGGCGCGCACCCUUACGACUUUUCGAGCUAGGUUCCAUCUCAAUAGCUCGCCCUUCGUAACCUUCCCGUUCAUAUCAUCACACGUGGUCAGGCCUUCAACAUGCGCCUCUCGCGAACCUCAAAUUACUUGCUCUGGGGAGGGCGCGCCCCUUCAGAAAACCGUUGAGGCUUCCAGGGAGGCGAUCUCCUUCUCGUAAAGACUCAAACCACAACAGACUUGUUAGCAAUAACAUGCGAAAGCAUUGUGAGAAUCUUACCCGGAGGUGCGCCUUCUUCGGAGGUGUUAGGGAAUUCGUUCCUCACGGUGGUAGUCGAGCACCACAUCACUUGGAGGCGUACCCUGUCAGGGGGAGGUGUACCCUGUCCAGGGGAGGUGUACUCUAUCCGGGGGAGGUGUACCCUGUCCAGGGGAGGUGUACUCUAUCCGGGGGAGGUGUACUCUGUCCGGGGGAGGUGUACUCUCUCCGGGGGAGGCGUACCCUCUUCGUAGGUGUCAGGUCUCCGAAAAUCACAUCCUUCGCUGACUCCCCGGUCCAGAAAACCCUGAUCGCAAAUUAGGUUACCUCCUAGAAUUUCGUUGAUGAUCGUCCUCCUUCAAACUCCCGAUGGAGAUAUCGUCCUUUUUCUGAAAAAGUAGAUGAAGGUCUCCUCCUCUUUUGUGCUCUAGCCAUCGCCCUGCCGGAAAACGCUCCUCCUCUACGUGCGAAUCUCCGUCGUGUGACAUCUCUUCCUCCUAAGAUGAAGAUCUUGAAUAGCCCCUCCUUCUAGCGCCAAUUUGUUGAUAGAGGAAUUUGGUAAUCAACAAAGAUGAGGUUCAUGGCCGGAAUCAAGAUCCGUGACGGUGGUUUUGGUCGCCGGAGAGUGGUGGUUGUUUGUUUUAGGGGGUGGCUGAGAUUAGGGUUUUGAGUUGGUCUCACGUGCUCUCAACUCAUGAUCCCCCAAUGUGCCUACGUACCCCUAUAUUUAUAGGGGAUCAAGCCAUACGUAGUUCUAUUGAACCAGGAGUCCUAGUUUGAUCAGGACUAGGCCUCUUGGCGAUAAGGUCGGAGAUAGGCCGAAGGCCCAUCUUGGAGAAUCCUACUCCUGUUAGAAUUAGUCUUGAGUAUGACUACCUCAGACUCCUAAUCCAAAUAGAUCACGGAUUCAACGAUAUCUCCACUACGAGAGAUAGCAUCUACCACGACUCUUAUGGAGAAGUUAUCUGGGGGAGCCAUGACUAACCCCUCGAGGUGCAGGGACACGUCCUCACCUCUCGGUGAGGUCUUCAUCUUCAAACAAGGUAGACAAGGAGCCGAAUUACACGAUCGUCUCAAUCCCCCGAUGAGGGCUAACUCACCAGAAUACAGGAUCCAGACAUAUGAUCGGCCUUCGUGUUACCCCGGAGGGCCUUCAAGAGCCAUGAUCACCUCAAGCCCCCACACGAGGGUUAACUCGGCAGAUAGCAGGAUUGAGGAUUGUAGAUCAUGCCCGGAUGAGCCCGGGAACUAUCAGAUGAGCCUGAUAACUACCAAAUGAGCUUGGUAACUACCAAAUGAGCUUGGUAACUAGUCUUCAUAUCCCUCGGAAGGGUCGUCACGGAGACUCACUCAUCCUCUCUCUCUCAUCAUGUAUUUCAUAACUAUGCCUCUUCUGAGUCAAAGGACGCGCCCUGAUAGGGAGGACGUGUCCUUCCCAAUUCCCGUCUUCAUCCCUGUUUACUGGACAAGAGACCGCACCUCCCGGGCCAUGUCUGGGGAGGGCGCGUCCUUCCCUUAUCUUGUCUUCAAUCCUCCUUACUGGACAAGAGACCGCACCUCCCGGGCCAUGUCUAGGGAGGGCGCGUCCUCCCCUCCACAUGAUAUACAAAAACGGCUACAACACCUCGGAAGAGUCGUCGUAUCCCCCGGAGGGGUCGUCAUAUCCCCCCCGGAGGGGUAGGUCUUCCUAUCCCCGGAGGGACGGUCUUCGUCUCCCUCGGAAGGGUUGUCUCAGCGAAUGUACACUCUCCCAUAAGAAGAGCCUUCUUACAACACAUCAGACAGGUCCUUCUUUAACAUGAGGUCGCGCCCCCAGGGAGGCGAGGACACCCCGUUAAAGGCACGCCCUUGGUCUUCAUCUCAUUGUCAACUUCUUGCAAGGGACGCGCCCCUCGGUCACCUCCGAAGAGGGCGCGCCCUCCUCCAACACCAUGACCAAUUUUGGUCAUAACAGGGUGGACGGAGGGUCGGUCGCGUCCUUCCAUCAACGUCCUCAAGAGUCGCGUCUCUCCUUCCA